AAAGUUUCCAAAGGUGAUGGAAAGACUGGAGGAAAGACUAGGUGCUGCGAGCUCUCUCAUACCUGCAUUAAGGAACCAAUUAAGCACACCUGAGCAAUUAGAAACACCUGUAAAGCCAUAUGUUCCAAGCAUUAUGGUGGCCUGGAAUGGGGG
Amblyraja radiata (thorny skate) is the source of this 153-nucleotide long non-coding RNA. RefSeq lists it as uncharacterized. The transcript has 3 exons. The record is from RefSeq and is a predicted model, not a curated record. Lineage: Eukaryota; Metazoa; Chordata; Chondrichthyes; Rajiformes; Rajidae.